This 253-nucleotide ribosomal RNA is filed under the name uncultured bacterium. Its description in RNAcentral is "partial 16S ribosomal RNA". It matches the Rfam family "Bacterial small subunit ribosomal RNA", at positions 524 to 776 of the family's 1533-position model. The record is from RNAcentral.
GACGUAGGGCGCGAGCGUUGUCCGGAUUUAUUGGGCGUAAAGAGCUCGUAGGCGGCUUGUCGCGUCGUCCGUGAAAACCUGCGGCUCAACUGCAGGCUGGCGGUCGAUACGGGCAGGCUGGAGUUCGGUAGGGGAGACUGGAAUUCCUGGUGUAGCGGUGAAAUGCGCAGAUAUCAGGAGGAACACCGAUGGCGAAGGCAGGUCUCUGGGCCACUACUGACGCUGAGAAGCGAAAGCAUGGGGAGCGAACAGG